This is a long non-coding RNA of Solanum lycopersicum (tomato), 447 nucleotides long. RefSeq lists it as uncharacterized. The record is from RefSeq and is a predicted model, not a curated record. NCBI's taxonomy places the organism in Eukaryota, Viridiplantae, Streptophyta, Magnoliopsida, Solanales, Solanaceae.
CGUCCAGCCUACUCCCUAUUUCCCAAAUUUCAACACAAAUCAUUAGUGAGGAAAGUCAAAAGAAAAACAUAGAAGAAAUACGCGUAAAACGAUUUUCGUUUUUUAGGACAUUUGAUUCCUCCAUGGCUCUCCUUUAAAUUUGUUCUGUUCCUCCAAAGUCUUCGAUGUCGUUCUUCGAGUGCGGAAGUCAGUGCUCUUUCAUGAUCGUUUUCGUCCCUGUUUUGCUUCACCUCGAAAGGACUCCACUCUCGCAUAUCCUUGAGCCGCAUCAAGUUAGCCUUAUUAUCAAUAGGAGAAUGGUGUACAGGUCCAGAAGUUUAAAGAAUUGAAGAAAGUCGAAGAAGUUGGAUUAGAAGCCCCCACCCCUUUUAUUUUUCAUGUUAUCUAUUUUUCAUUAUGUAACAGGCCUAAGGACUUAUCGUUUUAUAGUAUUAUUUGUUUAGACUA